AGCAGCCGCGGUAAUUCCAGCUCCAAUAGCGUAUAUUAAAGUUGUUGCAGUUAAAAAGCUCGUAGUUGAAUUUCGGGGUCAGCAAGUUGGUCGUGCCACUGGUAUGCACUGGCUUUGCUGAUUCCUCCUUCUUGAAGAACUGUAAUGCUAUUAAUUUAGUGUUGCAGGGAAACAGGACUGUUACUUUGAAAAAUUAGAGUGUUUAAAGCAGGCUAACGCUUGAAUACAUUAGCAUGGAAUAAUGAAAUAGGACGUUUGAUCCUAUUUUGUUGGUUUCUAGGAUUGACGUAAUGAUUAAUAGGGAUAGUUGGGGGCAUUAGUAUUCAAUUGUCAGAGGUGAAAUUCUUGGAUUUAUUGAAGACUAACUACUGCGAAAGCAUUUGCCAAGGAUGUUUUCAUUAAUCAAGAACGAAAGUUAGGGGAUCGAAGACGAUCAGAUACCGUCGUAGUCUUAACCAUAAACUAUGCCGACUAGGGAUCGGAUGAUGUUAAUUUUUAAUGA
This 502-nucleotide ribosomal RNA is filed under the name uncultured Glomus. RNAcentral's name for it is "SSU rRNA". It matches the Rfam family "Eukaryotic small subunit ribosomal RNA", at positions 569 to 1074 of the family's 1831-position model. Lineage: Eukaryota; Fungi; Glomeromycota; Glomeromycetes; Glomerales; Glomeraceae. The record is from RNAcentral.